UACAUGCAAGUCGAGGGGUAACAGGGGGCCUAGCCCCGCUGACGACCGGCGCACGGGUGCGCAACGCGUAUACAACCUGCCCCCCGCUGGGGAAUAGCCCAGAGAAAUUUGGAUUAAUGCCCCAUGGCGACCCUGUACGGCAUCGUACUUGGUCCAAAGGCCACGGCCGGGGAUGGGUAUGCGUCCCAUUAGCUGGUUGGUGCGGUAACGGCGCACCAAGGCGACGAUGGGUAGGGGUCCUGAGAGGGAGAUCCCCCACACUGGUACUGAGACACGGACCAGACUCCUACGGGAGGCAGCAGUGAGGAAUAUUGGACAAUGGGCGGAAGCCUGAUCCAGCCAUGCCGCGUGCAGGAAGACGGUCCUAUGGAUUGUAAACUGCUUUUGUACGGGAAGAACAGGGGCCACGCGUGGCCCGAUGACGGUACCGUAAGAAUAAGGAUCGGCUAACUCCGUGCCAGCAGCCGCGGUAAUACGGAGGAUCCGAGCGUUAUCCGGAA
This 500-nucleotide ribosomal RNA is filed under the name uncultured bacterium. RNAcentral describes it as "bacterial SSU rRNA". It matches the Rfam family "Bacterial small subunit ribosomal RNA", at positions 52 to 550 of the family's 1533-position model. The record is from RNAcentral.